CCUACCUUUAACAGGGGGAUAGCCCCGAGAAAUCGGGAUUAAUACCCCAUAAUAAUAAGAUAUGGCAUCAUAUUUUAUUUAAAGCUCCGGCGGUUAAAGAUGGGCAUGCGUGACAUUAGUUUGUUGGUGAGGUAACGGCUCACCAAGACUUCGAUGUCUAGGGGUUCUGAGAGGAUGAUCCCCCACACUGGUACUGAGACACGGACCAGACUCCUACGGGAGGCAGCAGUAAGGAAUAUUGCGCAAUGGAGGCAACUCUGACGCAGCCAUGCCGCGUGAAGGAAGAAGGCUUUAUGAGUCGUAAACUUCUUUUAUAUAGGAAUAAACCCACCCUCGUGAGGGUGGCUGAAGGUACUAUACGAAUAAGCACCGGCUAACUCCGUGCCAGCAGCCGCGGUAAUACGGAGGGUGCAAGCGUUAUCCGGAUUUAUUGGGUUUAAAGGGUGCGCAGGCGGACCUGUCAGUCAGUGGUGAAAUCCCGGGGCUCAACCCCGGAACUGCCAUUGAUACUACAGGUCUUGAAUACGGUUGAAGUAGGCGGAAUGUAGCAUGUAGCGGUGAAAUGCAUAGAUAUGCUACAGAACACCGAUCGCGAAGGCAGCUUACUAAGCCGAUAUUGACGCUCAGGCACGAAAGCGUGGGGAGCGANCAGGAUAAGAUACCCUGGUAGUCACGCCGUAAACGAUGAUCACUCGU
RNAcentral lists this ribosomal RNA (696 nucleotides) under uncultured bacterium. Its description in RNAcentral is "bacterial SSU rRNA". It matches the Rfam family "Bacterial small subunit ribosomal RNA", at positions 125 to 820 of the family's 1533-position model. The record is from RNAcentral.